RNAcentral lists this ribosomal RNA (730 nucleotides) under Echinococcus multilocularis. RNAcentral describes it as "partial small subunit ribosomal RNA". The record is from RNAcentral. Lineage: Eukaryota; Metazoa; Platyhelminthes; Cestoda; Cyclophyllidea; Taeniidae.
UAGAAGUUUAUCAGUACGAAAGGACAGUAGACUUUUUUGUUGAAUGCGAGUAAUGGUUGGUUUUGCAAAAGCUGAUUAGGGUUGUUGUGAUUGACCCCGUGUUUUAUUUGUUUAACUGUGGCAAUAAGAAGUUUUGCUUCAUUGGCUGCAUGAAGUUUGUUUAUUAGUUUAUUGGAUUAUGUUUUCUGAUUGAUUUUAUCAGCAGUUGAUUUUUUGUUUGAACGGGAGUUCUAUAAGGAUGAUGCAAUUAAAGGGGAUAGGACACAGUGCCAGCAUCUGCGGUUAGUCUGUUUUCUUUGCUUUUAUGUGGAUUAUUGGUAUUUAUUUAUGUGCAAUGUUAGGUUAAAUUUUUUUGUUAUGGUGUUGUAUAAAUAAAUUUUGUUAAGAUAUAUGUGGUGACAGGGAUUAGAUACCCCAUUAAUAUAUUUUGUAAGGUUGUUCUAGUUUUGUAACUAAAAUGGUUUGGCAGUGAGUGAUUCUUGUUAGGGGAAGAUGCAUAGUAAAGGAUGGUCCACCUAUUAAUUUACUCUUUUUAUGUUGGUGUAUGUCUGGUUUGAUAUUAUUGUUUAGUAAUGUAAGUUUGUGUAGUUUUAGUUAAGCUAAGUCUAUGUGCUGCUUAUAAGAGUUUUUGUGUGUUACAUUGAUAGGAAUAUUGUUGUAAUAUGGUAUUGUUUAGGACUUAAUAGUAAUGUUUGAAUUAGUUUGUUGAUGUGAAUUGAGUUUAACUCAG